This 752-nucleotide long non-coding RNA is filed under the name Equus caballus (horse). Its description in RNAcentral is "lncRNA (ENSECAG00000048133.1)". Lineage: Eukaryota; Metazoa; Chordata; Mammalia; Perissodactyla; Equidae. The record is from RNAcentral.
GACAAAUGUCAGUACGCCUGCUGCAUUCCUCUGGGAUAAGAGAAAUGAAGUCAUUACAUUGGAAAGUGAAUCAUGUGCCCAGGAUACACCCCUCUCACCCUGAACACACUGACUCUCCCAGGUUAAGGUCACAGAUCCGGCAGCUGCAAGAGUUCUGGUAGCCGGGAAAGGGUGAGGCAGAAGUGCCACGUAAAGAACAUCAAGGGUUAUGACAUUCGAGAUGGCAAUGACAGAGAGCCCGGCGUUUCAUCAGGUGUCUUGAUUCAUCUAAAGAGGGGGAAGAAGAAGUAUGAUGAAUUUUCAUCCCCUCAAGACCCGUCGGACUGGAUAAUGGAGUGCUGUGGUAGACAUGUAUCGUUUUGUCUGGCCAGUGUCAAAUAAAAAGAAAUCUGGACUGAGGAAUUCAGUGCCCCUGCGAACCAGUGUAGCAGCUCCCAGACAAACUGUCAAGAACGGAAUUUAGGGGCCAGCCCAUGGCCGAGUGGUUGGGUUCGCAUGCUCCACUUCAGCGGCCCAGGGUUUCGCAGGUUCAGAUCCUGGGCGCGGACCUGGCCCUGCUCAUCAGGCCACGCUGAGGCAGCGUCCCACAUGCCACAACUAGAAGGACCCACAACUAGAAAUAUAUACAACUAUGUACCGGGGGGCUUUGGGGAGAAGAAGGAAAAAUAAAAUCUUGAAGAAAAAAAAAAAUGAAGUUAAUUGGAAGUGCCAUUUUCCAAGAUGCUUGCUUAUUCUUUUAUAAAGGAAAGGGC